GAGCAAAGCCCCGAGCCCGCCGGAGAAAUAAACUCUAACAGCGCAUUUUUGAACCCUCCGCGGGAGAUAAACCCUCUGGCACCGCCUUUUAGUGCUAGCGAGGAAGGAGGAAUUUGCAGCUGCCUGUGCUCGAGCAAGCUCCAUAUCUCUGUAUGGCUCCCUUCUGCCUCCUGUGAACAGUGAUAAUAUCACUUCUCUGCCUCCCAAGACUGCUAAGAACUGAAGCUCUGGGCUCCUCUGAGGAAGCAUGGAUGUUGAACAUGUGAGAAGAGUACCUCAAAAACCUCAUG
This is a long non-coding RNA of Vidua macroura (Pin-tailed whydah), 290 nucleotides long. RefSeq lists it as uncharacterized. The transcript is spliced from 3 exons. The record is from RefSeq and is a predicted model, not a curated record. NCBI's taxonomy places the organism in Eukaryota, Metazoa, Chordata, Aves, Passeriformes, Viduidae.